GACUCGGAGCGGAGUGGUCCAUGCGCACACAUUCCAUGAUGAAGUGUGUGGGUGUCCUGGUUCAACUCCAGGCUGGGUCA
Mycena galopus ATCC 62051 is the source of this 80-nucleotide non-coding RNA. The record is from the annotation of a GenBank genome assembly. Lineage: Eukaryota; Fungi; Basidiomycota; Agaricomycetes; Agaricales; Mycenaceae.